AACGAACGCUGGCGGCGUGGAUAAGACAUGCAAGUCGAACGGGACUAAAUCUGUAGCAAUACAGGUUUAGUUUAGUGGCGAACGGGUGCGUAACACGUGGGCAAUCUGCCGAGAAGUGGGGGAUAGCUCGCCGAAAGGCGAAUUAAUACCGCAUAUGAUCAGUGAAGACAUCUUCACGACAUCAAAGCCGGGGCAACCUGGCGCUUCUUGAUGAGCCCGCGGCCUAUCAGCUAGUUGGUGAGGUAACGCUCACCAAGGCUAUGACGGGUANCUGGUCUGAGAGGACGACCAGUCACACUGGAACUGAGACACGGUCCAGACACCGUACGGGUGGCAGCAGUCGAGUAAUUUUUC
This 354-nucleotide ribosomal RNA is filed under the name uncultured bacterium. RNAcentral describes it as "bacterial SSU rRNA". It matches the Rfam family "Bacterial small subunit ribosomal RNA", at positions 29 to 368 of the family's 1533-position model. The record is from RNAcentral.